This 23-nucleotide non-coding RNA is filed under the name Cricetulus griseus (Chinese hamster). Lineage: Eukaryota; Metazoa; Chordata; Mammalia; Rodentia; Cricetidae. The record is from RNAcentral.
CACGGUGGUUGGUAAUGGAAUAA